AUACUCUUCAUAUGAAACUCACAAAUCUAAAUGCCUAAUCCUCUGCAGAGAUCUAAGAACAUCCAUUACUGUAAAGUUUCUAAAAAUAUGCGUUGGUAAUUAUGAAACAAAGAACCUUCUCACAAAUUAAGCAUUGUGUUUUCAAUUGUUUUGCUGUAGUGUGUAAUGAUGUGUUUACAUUUUUGAAAGCUUCGAGCUGCUCUUUUGGUGUGAAAGUUUGAGUUUUGAAGUGAGAAGGUGUGGUUGUGUUUAUGUAGCUUUAGAAAAGGGUUUUGUGUUUAGACAUUGGGGAACAUGGAGGAAACGUUUGUGAAAUGUGUUUUAGCAUUUGAGAAAAACUGUAAUAGGUGUUUCGUAUGAAAUAUAUCCAAAGUCCUUCUUAUUACAGUUGUUUUCAACUGCUUAAACACCAAAUCUUUACUUGUCACACAGUUUCUGAAACCUGACACUCAAACAGCAGAACCACACACCACACUGCAAACCAAACGCUAAUUUUUGGCCUUUGAAUCAUCUACAGAGUAGCAAGGUGAAGGUUUCAUGGUCGGCGAGGUCACAAGUUCACUGAAGAGCAAGAGACAGCUAUUUGAAAUCAACUGAGAAUGAAACGGCUGUAUAAGAUCCCAUUUGAAAGGAACUGUGACAGAGUCAAGAACCAUCAACAUGACUUUGUGGAGACAAUUUUGGAGAUGGAUGCCCAUGCUAUCAUCCAUGAAUAUAUUUAUGUGGAUGAGGUGGGCUUCAAUUUCAGCAAAACCAGAAGAAGGGGGAGAAAUGACAAUUACUUUUGAUCUUGUACAGAAAUGUCCAUAGGAGCUCAUGAAAGAAGAGCUUUAGUUUUGAAUUACUGUGUGUAUAUGACAUAUCCAAAAAAUAUAUUAUUAUGGCAAAAGUAUUUGCAACGUAAGACAGAUGUUUGCUUUUGAGAUGUGUUUGUGAUCUUUUGAAUGCAGUGUGUCAUUUUAGAAGACAUGUGAGGCAUUUUGCAUUUUGUGUGUGCAAUUCUUGGAUUUAUGUGUUAAGUUAAAAAAGAGGUAAGGUUUAGAAAAUGUGUGUAUAAGCAGUUGAAAAAAAAAAAGGUGACCCAAACUUCUAGGCAGUAACCCAACCGCUGGGUCAAAACAACCCAAUUGCUGGAUUUGUCCAUAUUUUACCCAGUGCUGGGUUGUAUCUAACCCAGCAUUAUUUAGAGUACUUUUGUACUGUUGGGAUAAUUUAAAGUUUACCGUUAUUUUGUGUUAUAUUCCACUCAUGUGUAACUCAGGGAAUGUGAAUAAAAAUGAAGAUUUUCUAUGCAGUAUGUCGUUCCAUUCUG
Long non-coding RNA from Cyprinus carpio carpio, 1312 nucleotides. The record is from Ensembl. Lineage: Eukaryota; Metazoa; Chordata; Actinopteri; Cypriniformes; Cyprinidae.